Molecule: small RNA, 134 nt
Filed under: Chrysemys picta bellii (western painted turtle)
Lineage: Eukaryota; Metazoa; Chordata; Testudines; Emydidae
Description: TUC338 (ENSCPBG00000013963.1)
Source: RNAcentral
UGACGUCCUUGACUGACCCACAGAACAGGUACAGUCUGGGCAGUGGUAGUGCAGCCUUCCCCCUCCCUGCCCCAUCCAUCUGCUUUGAUGCUGAGAGGGAGGAGUCACUCCUAAUCAUCUAUGGGGGUGGGUCA